UGUAGUGACCUGGUUCAGAUGCAUCCUAUAUCUUCGAUAUUAGAGUGCUGAAAGUUCUCUUCCAGGCCUCUGGCAUCCUCCCAGAGUUGAAGAAUUGCUGGAUCGCGACCACCAACUCAUAGUCGAUGAUUACCCAGAAUCUCCUGAAGAAGGGGGAAAAACCAUUGGGACCUGGCGCUUUAUCCUCCGCCAUAAACCAAAUGGCCUUCCGAAUCUCAUCCAACAUCACCU
RNAcentral lists this long non-coding RNA (231 nucleotides) under Phoenix dactylifera (date palm). RNAcentral's name for it is "long non-coding RNA (PDAC_LNC011983)". Lineage: Eukaryota; Viridiplantae; Streptophyta; Magnoliopsida; Arecales; Arecaceae. The record is from RNAcentral.